Molecule: small RNA, 405 nt
Filed under: Vigna angularis var. angularis
Lineage: Eukaryota; Viridiplantae; Streptophyta; Magnoliopsida; Fabales; Fabaceae
Description: Non-protein coding transcript
Source: RNAcentral
AGUAAGUCUAGUGGUCCUAUAUUUGUUAGCCAAGAAAUCCGAUAUUUCUUUUGUAGAAUUGUAAUCAGCAAAUUGAACAUCGAUUGCAGGGACAAAAUAUUGCGGAACAAAGGUCGACAAAUAUGGUUGUUCAUGUUGGAGGCAACUUGGAGGUGUUCGAGCUUCGAGGCGGUGGUUCGAAGUAGCUGAUGGUGGUGCAGUGUUGUUGGUGGGCAUUGCAGGAGUGAUUUUUUUAAAGAUUCUACUUGCUUCUAGUGCAUGAAUUUAUCUUAUUAAAUUUGGAUAUACAAUAGAGUGCACAUCAGAUGUCCACAUCCGAAGAAAAAUAAAUCUUCAAAAAAUGAAUCAAAUAUGAAAAUUAAAAAAUCACAAUACUGGAUAUUGAUAAUAUAGGAAGAAUCGGAU